GCUGUCGUCAGCUCGUGCCGUGAGGUGUUGGCUUAAGUCCCGCAACGAGCGCAACCCUUGUCCUAUGUUGCCAGCGGGUUAUGCCGGGGACUCGUAGGAGACUGCCGGGGUCAACUCGGAGGAAGGUGGGGAUGACGUCAAGUCAUCAUGCCCCUUAUGUCCAAGGCUUCACACAUGCUACAAUGGCCGGUACAAAG
This 197-nucleotide ribosomal RNA is filed under the name uncultured Mycobacterium sp. RNAcentral describes it as "partial 16S ribosomal RNA". It matches the Rfam family "Bacterial small subunit ribosomal RNA", at positions 1048 to 1244 of the family's 1533-position model. The record is from RNAcentral. Lineage: Bacteria; Bacillati; Actinomycetota; Actinomycetes; Mycobacteriales; Mycobacteriaceae.